RNAcentral lists this small nuclear RNA (107 nucleotides) under Sorex araneus (European shrew). The record is from RNAcentral. Lineage: Eukaryota; Metazoa; Chordata; Mammalia; Eulipotyphla; Soricidae.
GUGCUCACUUCAGCAGUACAUAUACUAAAAUUGGAACGAUACAGAGAAGAUUAGCAUGGCCCUUGCACAAGGAUAACAUGCAAAUUCAUGAAGGGUUCCAUAUUUUU